RNAcentral lists this microRNA precursor (97 nucleotides) under Callithrix jacchus (white-tufted-ear marmoset). RNAcentral's name for it is "mir-544 microRNA precursor family". It matches the Rfam family "mir-544 microRNA precursor family". Lineage: Eukaryota; Metazoa; Chordata; Mammalia; Primates; Cebidae. The record is from Rfam by way of RNAcentral.
GUCAUCUGGGGAUUUUGUAAAAAAUGUAGAUUCUGAUUCAGCGGAUCUGGGUGUGGCUGAGAUUCUGCAUUUUUAACAGGUUCUCAGGUGAUGCUAA